Sphingomonadales bacterium BRH_c42 is the source of this 109-nucleotide non-coding RNA. The record is from Rfam. NCBI's taxonomy places the organism in Bacteria, Pseudomonadati, Pseudomonadota, Alphaproteobacteria, Sphingomonadales.
AGAUUAGGUAUCUUCGAACCGUCAUAGACCAUGACGUUGAUAGGCCGGGUGUGGAAGCGCAGUAAUGCGUGGAGCUAACCGGUCCUAAUAGUUCUGAUCGCGCUUGAUG